UUCCCUCUGAAGUUUCCCUCAAGAUAGUUGGAGCCCGCGGGCGAGUUCUAUUGGGUAAAGCCAAUGGUUAGCCGCAUCGGGGGCGCAACACCCUCGAUCUAUUCUCAAACUUUAAAUAGGUAGGACGGCGUGGCUGCUUUGUAGAGCCACGCCACAAAAUCAAGAGCUCCAAGUGGGCCAUUUUUGGUAAGCAAAACUGGCGAUACGGGAUGAACCAGAAGCUGGGUUACGGUGCCCAACUGCGCGCUAACCUAGACCGCACAAAGGGUGUUGGUUGAUUAAGACAGCAGGACGGUGGUCAUGGAAGUCGAAAUCCGGUAAGGAGUGUGUAACAACUCACCUGCUGAAUCAACUAGCCCCAGAAAUGGAUGGCGCUAAAGCACGCGACCUAUACCCGUCCGUCAGGGAAAGGGCUAGGCCCCGAUGAGUAGGAGGGCGCGGUGGUUGCUGCAAAACCUGGGGCAUGAGCAUGGGCGGAGUGUUCGUCGUUG
Molecule: ribosomal RNA, 491 nt
Organism: Lupinus angustifolius (narrow-leaved blue lupine)
Lineage: Eukaryota; Viridiplantae; Streptophyta; Magnoliopsida; Fabales; Fabaceae
Rfam family: Eukaryotic large subunit ribosomal RNA
Source: Rfam